CGCAUCUGUGCAUGCAGCAUAUCAAUAAGCGGAGGAAAAGAAACUAACAAGGAUUCCCCUAGUAACGGCGAGUGAAGCGGGAAGAGCUCAAAUUUGAAAUCUUAAAGGGUUUCCCUUUACGAAUUGUAGUUUAAAGAAGUGUUUUCUGUUGAGGUUUUGGUAAAAGUUCUUUGGAAUAGGACAUCAUAGAGGGUGAGAAUCCCGUAUUUGACCUUUACUUUCAACUUUGUGAUACACUUUCAAAGAGUCGGAUUGUUUGGGAAUGCAGUCCAAAAUGGGUGGUAAAUUUCAUCUAAAGCUAAAUAUUGGCGAGAGACCGAUAGCGAACAAGUACCGUGAGGGAAAGAUGAAAAGAACUUUGAAAAGAGAGUUAAACAGUACGUGAAAUUGUCAAAAGGGAAGCGUUUGACACCAGUGUUGUUUUUCUGAAAAUCAAUUAAAGAACUGUUUAUGCUAAGUUGUUUAGACUUUAUCAGCUAUCUGUUUAGUUUUGAGCUUUUCUUUAAUGCACUCUUCAGUUAACAAGUCAACAUCAAUUUCUUUUGCUGUAAAAAAGCCUGAGGAAGGUGGCUUGAGAUUCGUCUUAAGUGUUUAUAGCCUCUUGCCUAUGCAGUCGGAGAGAUUGAGGUCUGCAGCGUAGAUCCUUCGGGGCUAAAUGCAUUUGUGCUAAGUUAUAACAUUUUAUAGACAACUUGUUGACUAUGAUUUGUCUUGUAGCUUACUCGCUUAUGUUAUUUUACCUACGCUUAGGAUGUUGACAGCAGUAUAGACUGU
RNAcentral lists this ribosomal RNA (774 nucleotides) under uncultured Neocallimastigales. RNAcentral describes it as "partial large subunit ribosomal RNA". It matches the Rfam family "Eukaryotic large subunit ribosomal RNA", at positions 26 to 629 of the family's 3401-position model. Lineage: Eukaryota; Fungi; Neocallimastigomycota; Neocallimastigomycetes; Neocallimastigales. The record is from RNAcentral.